Molecule: ribosomal RNA, 1400 nt
Filed under: uncultured bacterium
Lineage: Bacteria
Description: bacterial SSU rRNA
Rfam family: Bacterial small subunit ribosomal RNA
Source: RNAcentral
GAUGAACGCUAGCGACAGGCUUAACACAUGCAAGUCGAGGGGCAGCGCGGAGGUAGCAAUACCACUGGCGGCGACCGGCGCACUGGUGAGUAACACGUAUGCAACCUGCCCCAAUCCGGGGGAUAAGCUCGAGAAAUUGGGUCUAAUACCCCAUACGCUGACGGACCACAUGGUCUGUCAGUGAAAGAUUUAUCAGAUUGGGAUGGGCAUGCGGCGCAUUAGCUAGUUGGCGGGGUAACGGCCCACCAAGGCGACGAUGCGUAGGGGUUCUGAGAGGAAGGUCCCCCACAUUGGUACUGAGACACGGACCAAACUCCUACGGGAGGCAGCAGUGAGGAAUAUUGGUCAAUGGACGAGAGUCUGAACCAGCCAAGUCGCGUGAGGGAGGAAGGUCCUAUGGAUUGUAAACCUCUUUUGCCGGGGAGUAACAAGCGGGACGUGUCCCGCCCUGAGAGUACCCGGAGAAAAAGCAUCGGCUAACUCCGUGCCAGCAGCCGCGGUAAUACGGAGGAUGCGAGCGUUAUCCGGAUUUAUUGGGUUUAAAGGGUGCGCAGGCGGCGAGUCAAGUCAGCGGUCAAAGUGCGGAGCUCAACUCCGUAUCGCCGUUGAAACUGGUUUGCUAGAGUGCGUGCGAGGAAGGCGGAAUGCGUGGUGUAGCGGUGAAAUGCAUAGAUAUCACGCAGAACUCCGAUUGCGAAAGGCAGCUUUCCAGCACGCUACUGACGCUCAUGCACGAAAGCGUGGGGAUCGAACAGGAUUAGAUACCCUGGUAGUCCACGCGGUAAACGAUGAUUACUAGAUAUUCGGGCCGAUUGGGGCCUGUGUGUCACAGCGAAAGCGUUAAGUAAUCCACCUGGGGAGUACGCCGGCAACGGUGAAACUCAAAGGAAUUGACGGGGGCCCGCACAAGCGGAGGAACAUGUGGUUUAAUUCGAAGCAACGCGAAAAACCUUACCAGGGCUUGACAUCCCUCUGACAGGACCUUAACCGGUCCCUCCUUCGGGCAGAGGUGACGAGGUGGUGCAUGGUCGUCGUCAGCUCGUGUCGUGAGAUGUUGGGUUAAGUCCCACAACGAGCGCAACCCUUAUAUCAAGUAGCUAACAGGUAGAGCUGAGCACUCUUAAUAGACUGCCGUGGAGAACACGGAGGAAGGUGGGGAUGACGUCAAAUCAUCAUGCCCCUUAUGACUUGGGCUACACACGUGCUACAAUGGCCGGUACAAAGAGAGGCGAAGGCGCGAGCCGGAGCGAAGCUCAAAAAGCCGGUCCCAGUUCGGAUUGUAGUCUGCAACUCGACUACAUGAAGUUGGAAUCGCUAGUAAUCGCGGGUCAGCAUGCCGCGGUGAAUACGUUCCCGGGGAUUGUACACACCGCCCGUCAAACCAUGGGAGUCUGGAACAC